UUGCUCUAGAAGCACAUAUACUAAAACUGACACAAUCCAGAGAAGAUUAGCAUGAACCCUGCACAAGGAUAACACACAAAUUUUUGAAUCUUUCCAUCUUUUU
Monodelphis domestica (gray short-tailed opossum) is the source of this 103-nucleotide small nuclear RNA. Lineage: Eukaryota; Metazoa; Chordata; Mammalia; Didelphimorphia; Didelphidae. The record is from Ensembl.